GUGUAUGUUCUUUGGUUGGUGUGUGUUCUUUGGUUGGUGUGUGUUCUUUAGUUGAUGUAUGUUUUUUAGUUGGUGUAUGUUUUUUGGUUGGUGUAUGUUCUUUAGUUGGUGUAUGUUUUUUGGGUUGGUGUAUGUUUUUUGGUUGGUGUAUGUUCUUUGGUGGGUGUAUGUUCUUUGGUUGGUGUAUGUUCUUUGGUUGGUGUAUGUUCUUUGGUUGGUGUAAUAUUUUCAGGAAUAGAAGGAGCAUUAGUUGUUUCAAAUGGUUUAGUGGUUGUUGAAACUCCUGCAAAGAUGCAGCGUUUGGUGUCUGUUGUUUGGUGGGUGUAUGUUCUUUAGUUGGUGUAUGUUUUUUGGUUGUUGUUUCAAAUGAUGUAGUGGUUGUUGAAACUUCUGCAAAAGAUGCAGCGUUUGGUGAAUGUUGUUUGGUGGGUGUAUGUUUUUUGGUGGGUGUAUGUUUUUUGGUUGUUGUAUGUUCUUUGGUUGGUGUAUGUUUUUUGGUGGGUGUAUGUUCUUUAGUUGGUGUAUGUUUUGAGGUUGCUGUAGAUGUAGUACUUUUUGGUUUAGUAGUAGUUCUAGGAGUAGAAGUUGUUUCUGAAGUUGGAAUACUUGAUGUUUCAUGUGUUUCACCGACACAGAUGGAGUUUUGAUUUGACAUCAUUCUUGGAGAUGGCCUGUAAGUUUCAAGGUUAUUGCCAGGUUUUCCCAAUUCCGUCGAAGAAUCAUUCGUGUGACUCUCUCUUUUGGUCAGAUGUUUAGCUUGAUUUUUGGCACAGAACACCUUUCCCAUGUACAGUUUAUCCAAUGUAUCAAUAUACUGAAGCAAAAGCACAGACUGAUGCUGCAGAGAAGACAAAAUGAAAAUGUACAUUAAUCACAGCAUGAUGACACAUUAAUCUAGGAUUUUAAAUAUAAUCACCUGACCCAAAUCUGUCCAAACACUGAAACAGAACUGGC
Molecule: long non-coding RNA, 954 nt
Organism: Ictalurus punctatus (channel catfish)
Lineage: Eukaryota; Metazoa; Chordata; Actinopteri; Siluriformes; Ictaluridae
Source: Ensembl